RNAcentral lists this transfer RNA (63 nucleotides) under Solanum tuberosum (potato). It matches the Rfam family "tRNA", at positions 5 to 66 of the family's 71-position model. Rfam says of the family: Transfer RNA (tRNA) molecules are approximately 80 nucleotides in length. Lineage: Eukaryota; Viridiplantae; Streptophyta; Magnoliopsida; Solanales; Solanaceae. The record is from Rfam by way of RNAcentral.
AUAUAACUUAGUAGUAGAGUGUCACCUUGACGUGGUGGAAAUCAUCCGUUCGAGCCUGAUUAU